RNAcentral lists this ribosomal RNA (253 nucleotides) under uncultured bacterium. Its description in RNAcentral is "partial 16S ribosomal RNA". It matches the Rfam family "Bacterial small subunit ribosomal RNA", at positions 524 to 776 of the family's 1533-position model. The record is from RNAcentral.
UACGUUGGUGGCAAGCGUUAUCCGGAAUUAUUGGGCGUAAAGAGCGCGCAGGUGGUUAAUUAAGUCUGAUGUGAAAGCCCACGGCUUAACCGUGGAGGGUCAUUGGAAACUGGUUGACUUGAGUGCAGAAGAGGGAAGUGGAAUUCCAUGUGUAGCGGUGAAAUGCGUAGAGAUAUGGAGGAACACCAGUGGCGAAGGCGGCUUCCUGGUCUGUAACUGACACUGAGGCGCGAAAGCGUGGGGAGCAAACAGG